Molecule: long non-coding RNA, 1967 nt
Organism: Oreochromis aureus
Lineage: Eukaryota; Metazoa; Chordata; Actinopteri; Cichliformes; Cichlidae
Source: Ensembl
GUCUCCGACUGAUGACGUAUCACGAGUACACGAGAACGCAAGUACGCACAAGUACGCAUAUUGAUAAACGCCCUGUGUUUUCUGACAGAGAACCUACGGUGGCCCUGAAGUGCAAAUCACACCAACAACAAAAUCAAAUUGAGAAGCACAAAAACAAAAUUGAGAAGCACAAAAACAAAACUGAAAAUCACAAAAUCAAAUUAAGAAGCACAACAACAAAACUGAGAAACACAAAAACAAAUGGAGAAUCACAAAACAAAAUUGAGAAGCACAAAAACAAAACUGAGAAUCACAAAAUCAAAUUAAGAAGCACAAACACAAAACUGAGAAGCACAAAAACAAAACUGAGAAUCACAAAAUUAAAUUAAGAAGCACAAAAACAAAAUUGAGAAGCACAAAACAAAACUGAGAAUCACAAAAUCAAAUUAAGAAGCACAAAAACAAAAUUGAGAAGCACAAAACAAAACUGAAAAUCACAAAAUCAAAUUAAGAAGCACAAAAACAAAACUGAGAAGCACAAAAACAAAACUGAGAAUCACAAAAACAAAACUGAGAAUCACAAAAUUAAAUUAAGAAGCACAAAAACAAAAUUGAGAAGCACAAAACAAAACUGAGAAUCACAAAAUCAAAUUAAGAAGCACAAAAACAAAAUUGAGAAGCACAAAAACAAAAGAAGAAUCACAAAAACAAAUUGAGAAGCACAAUUACAUUAAGAAAACCGGAAAGGGUAGGUACCAGUCGGCAACAGGAGACAUCACUGAUUGGAUGUCCGCGCUGUUCGUCUUUGGAACCGGAAGUUACUCUGUGGCGCAUUUCGUUUGAAGAAGAACGGCGGAAUGUUUUGUCCUAGCUGUGGGAAAAAGCUGGUUGAGGAGUCACCGAACUUUUGCAGCGGCUGUGGCGAGAGGCUUCAUCACGCAUCUUGCAUCGGAGACACUUCACUCCCAUCGAAUAAAUGUCGGCUUGAUGACCAUUAAAAAGGGUGGUUUGAAGGCAUACCGUGGAAAAACUAUUUUCCUAACAACAGACCCUGACGCUACUGCCACAAGUCUGCUCAAUCAAGCUGUUAAAAAAAAUGAAGGACUUUAACAAAGAUCUAAAAGAUGGACCUUUCCUUCUUCUGUAUCCGGAUGGCACUGAGGUCAUUACUGUCCCUGGAACACAAAGACCAUUUACACUUGAGGCUUAUAAGGCUGAAGUUGGCAAGCCUUAUCAAAGAAUCACUGUUUUCAUCUGCUUGAAGAGUGACUUUGAGGAUGUUGGAGAAAACUCAGACUUGUCUGACUCUGACCCAGAGAUUGUUAUUAAAAGGCCCUCUGAGUUUGAUCUUGCUGAUACACUGCCAUGGGAAUUCCAACAUGAAAGCAGUCCUUUACAGAAAGCGGCAGAAUAUGAGAAGGGUGCUGGGGAUCUUGUGCUUGCUAAUGAAGUACAACAGGUCAUAGAUUUGGAAGAAGAAAACGAUACAGGCACUACUGAAUGCCUCACUGUGGAGAGCUCCUGUUACAGAAACUACACACAGCUGUUUGAUCCGAUUGUGAUUGAUGAUGAAGAUCCUACUCCUAACGAAGCCAAAGCUGAGCCCCCAGAAGAACCUGUAGACCCCAAUUUGCAGGCACAUGAAAUUAUUGCAAAUUUGACACUGGAACUUGACCACAAGAAGGUCAGCAGGUUCAAUAUAUCAAGGUCAGCUGUAUGGGAUGGAGCUGUUAGAUGAAAUCCAUCAUCAUCAAGUUUAAUGAUGAUGCUGGCAGCUUUGAAGAAGGUUUGGAUACAGGUGGCCCGAGGCGUGAAUUCCUCACACUUCUUAUGGGCAGUCUGAGAAAUCGCCCAUCUUUGAUGGACCUCCAGAAACCGUUAUCUUGUAUAUAAUUCAAGAGGUGGAUGUUUUCUCCGUAAUUAUUACAAUGAAAAUUUUAAUAAAAAUUGGCUUAUUUUUUUCAUUAGCAUAUUUAAUAGCAAUUAAC